This 252-nucleotide ribosomal RNA is filed under the name uncultured bacterium. RNAcentral describes it as "partial 16S ribosomal RNA". It matches the Rfam family "Bacterial small subunit ribosomal RNA", at positions 524 to 776 of the family's 1533-position model. The record is from RNAcentral.
UACGUAGGGUGCAAGCGUUAAUCGGAAUUACUGGGCGUAAAGCGUGCGCAGGCGGUUGUGCAAGACCGAUGUGAAAUCCCCGGGCUUAACCUGGGAAUGGCAUUGGUGACUGCACGGCUAGAGUGUGUCAGAGGGGGGUAGAAUUCCACGUGUAGCAGUGAAAUGCGUAGAGAUGUGGAGGAAUACCGAUGGCUAAGGCAGCCCCUGGGAUAACACUGACGCUCAUGCACGAAAGCGUGGGGAGCAAACGGG